AACGAACGCUGGCGGCAGGCCUAACACAUGCAAGUCGAACGCCCUAGCAAUAGGGAGUGGCAGACGGGUGAGUAACACGUGGGAACCUUCCCUAUAGUACGGAAUAUACCAGGGAAACUUGGAGCAAUACCGUAUACGCCCGAGAGGGGAAAGAUUUAUCGCUAUAGGAUGGGCCCGCGUAGGAUUAGCUAGUUGGUGAGGUAAUGGCUCACCAAGGCGACGAUCCUUAGCUGGUUUGAGAGAACGACCAGCCACACUGGGACUGAGACACGGCCCAGACUCCUACGGGAGGCAGCAGUGGGGAAUAUUGGACAAUGGGCGGCAAGCCUGAUCCAGCCAUGCCGCGUGAGUGAUGAAGGCCUUAGGGUUGUAAAGCUCUUUUGCCGGGGACGAUAAUGACGGUACCCGGAGAAUAAGUCCCGGCUAACUUCGUGCCAGCCGCCGCCGU
This 448-nucleotide ribosomal RNA is filed under the name uncultured bacterium. RNAcentral describes it as "bacterial SSU rRNA". It matches the Rfam family "Bacterial small subunit ribosomal RNA", at positions 29 to 521 of the family's 1533-position model. The record is from RNAcentral.